This 253-nucleotide ribosomal RNA is filed under the name uncultured bacterium. Its description in RNAcentral is "partial 16S ribosomal RNA". It matches the Rfam family "Bacterial small subunit ribosomal RNA", at positions 524 to 776 of the family's 1533-position model. The record is from RNAcentral.
UACGUAGGGGGCAAGCGUUGUCCGGAAUCAUUGGGCGUAAAGCGCUCGCAGGCGGUCCCGUGCGUCGUGCGUGAAAGGCCCCGGCUCAACCGGGGGCGGUCGUGCGAUACGGCGGGACUGGAGGCCAGUAGGGGGACGCGGAAUUCCGGGUGUAGUGGUGGAAUGCGUAGAGAUCCGGAGGAACACCAGCGGCGAAGGCGGCGUCCUGGACUGGGCCUGACGCUCAGGAGCGAAAGCGUGGGGAGCGAUCCGG